AUUGAACGCUGGCGGCAGGCUUAACACAUGCAAGUCGAGCGGGGUGAUGGUGCUUGCACUAUCACUUAGCGGCGGACGGGUGAGUAAUGCUUAGGAAUCUGCCUAUUAGUGGGGGACAACAUCUCGAAAGGGAUGCUAAUACCGCAUACGUCCUACGGGAGAAAGCAGGGGAUCACUUGUGACCUUGCGCUAAUAGAUGAGCCUAAGUCGGAUUAGCUAGUUGGUGGGGUAAAGGCCUACCAAGGCGACGAUCUGUAGCAGGUCUGAGAGGAUGAUCCGCCACACUGGGACUGAGACACGGCCCAGACUCCUACGGGAGGCAACAGUGGGGAAUAUUGGACAAUGGGGGGAACCCUGAUCCAGCCAUGCCGCGUGUGUGAAGAAGGCCUUAUGGUUGUAAAGCACUUUAAGCGAGGAGGAGGCUCUUUUGGUUAAUACCCAAGAUGAGUGGACGUUACUCGCAGAAUAAGCACCGGCUAACUCUGUGCCAGCCGCCGCAGUAA
This 503-nucleotide ribosomal RNA is filed under the name uncultured bacterium. Its description in RNAcentral is "partial 16S ribosomal RNA". It matches the Rfam family "Bacterial small subunit ribosomal RNA", at positions 30 to 523 of the family's 1533-position model. The record is from RNAcentral.